Long non-coding RNA from Rhinolophus ferrumequinum (greater horseshoe bat), 7575 nucleotides. RefSeq lists it as uncharacterized. The record is from RefSeq and is a predicted model, not a curated record. NCBI's taxonomy places the organism in Eukaryota, Metazoa, Chordata, Mammalia, Chiroptera, Rhinolophidae. The transcript is spliced from 5 exons.
CUCUUCAACGAAAUUUCCCAUCAUCCUUCCUUCCUCUAUCCCUCUUGUCUUGUCUCCGCUCCUCUGUUCACGGGCUUCAGAAGCUCGAAUACCCGGAGACUUGUCUCCUUGACAACAACCACACGUAACCGUUUUGGUGCUGCGCGACCGGAAGCGGAGUGGCCCGGAGCCUCCUGGGAACUGUGGUCCCGCCUCACUGGGGCCCGCCCUGCGUAUGUUUCUGCCUCCUCGAGCUCCGGAACCAAGGCAUGAGUGACAGUGACGCGUGACUUGCCCGUUUGGAAGCCUUAGGGUGGGAACUAUUCCGUGCACGGCCACCUGCAGGCCCAGGUCGCGGACGUUGGUAGAGCCGAGGAGCCUGGACCGUCUCCUCGGUAACCCGCUUGCCGCGAGGCCUCUGCUAAUUGUAGUUGAGCGGGGCCGGGUCCGCAUCGGAGGUCCGAGCCACAGCCGUUACUGCUCAACCACCGCGGCCAGAGCGAGCCGCAGCCAACUCGCCUUUCGGGUGGUGAGGAUUUUCAGGCUUCUUGGGCGAGUUGCCACGGCGUUACCUCGGCUUCCGAGCACGCAGGCAGGACAGGACGUUUUCUGGGGGAAGAUGGCGCCUCCACUACCAGCUUACGAAUCCCCAGCGUCUGCCAAUUGAGCCUCAGUUCAAACGUGGGUCGUGGGAGCUCCACCCUCUCCAAGCCAGUGGGGGAACAUCAGAUCUCUUCUUGAUGGAGCAUGCUUUGACUGAAAAGCGCCCGCACUGAAAUAAGUGACACGUGUAUUGGACAACUUCUAGAGUCUCCUGUCACUGUUGGCAUCUCUGGGACACGGAAGUAGGAGAGGUCAGAGGUAGGGAUGAUAUUCAUCUGGUGCCCACCAGAAUGGAUGGAUGGGUUGCUCAAAUAUGUAAAUGCUUCUGGACUGGUGGGUAAGCAGCUGCUGCUGCGUCGCCGAGUGCCCCGCACCCCAGCAACUCCCCCCUGACCCUCAGGACCUUUUCAGGGUCCAACAUCUAAUGUUAUCACUGGGUCCUACAAGAGGCCUCUGGGCCCCUGCCGCUGGGUGUCCAGAUGAGACCACAGCUGUUCUAACCAGUGUGUGGGCCCUCCCCGUGAAGUGUUUGUGGUAUCCCCCUUGGCCUCCAGCCUUCAUGCCCCUUCGCUGCCCAUUCUCAGGAAGGACAGCUGAGCAGCGAGGCCCCGCAAAAUGAGUGCUGGAACCAACUGGAUUCACGUCCCUGCUCCACGUAUUCUAGCUCUGCCAUCUUGGGCAAGUGCUUUAAAUUCUCUGAGCCUCUGUCUCCCCAUCUGCAGGCGUCAAAUAAAAUAAUAGAGGAGAAAGUAAAUGAGAAAUGUAAACCACAAAGUGCUUACAUACAAAAGUUAUUUGUAAAUUAUUGUUUCUGACGUGUAUGAGUUCUUUGUCCCACACAGGACCAUGCCUACCCUCAAAGCCCGCUGUCUUCCCUCUGGCGGGGCCCCUUCCUCUUAUCCUUUCAGCAGUUACCUCAAACCUCCAUCCUCCGCUGCCCUUCAAGGGAUGCCCCAGGACUCCGCUCUUUGGAGGUCACUAACCUCGGCUCCUUGGGGCAGCUUCCUCAGCUGCCUGCGUAGCACACCCUCUUCCUGUGUGGGCAGGAGAGCUCGAGUUAUUCUUCAUUAACUUCUCAGAAUUCCUUUCACCCCAUCACUACUUUGAUCCCCUGCUUUUUCCUCAUCCACUCCCCAGCUCAUGACCUCAGGACUGAGGACAGGGAGUUCAGCUCAGAUCAGGAACUUGCUGAAAGAAGACCCCACGGGUGACUCAGGCAGACUCCAGGGAAGCUCUGCAGGCACCUGAGCUGGGAGACACCUCAGAAUGUUCCAGUACCUUAGACCAGCAUCAGGGAACCUCCCAGAGGGGAGGCCAAGCAGCUUCCCUGCCCCUGAGAAGAGUUUCAAGCAGGAGAAAUAGAAGCUGUGAAGGUGAUGAGAGUGACCAAACCUGCAGACCAGACUUAAAGCUCUUUCAGAAAGAACCACAUCUUGUCUUUUGUGUUCUCCACAGCACCACCGAACACCGAGACACUCGGGAUGCUUUGUUGACUUGCCACUGUAUAUGGCUGUGGACACUGCAAUUGAAGCUGGUAAAAUGGGAGUUGUCACAGCUCUGGGCAGUCGUGGAUGCAGGUGCAUUUACCUGUGACUGGAGAUGGAGCUGCCUUCUCUGGGAUGGGUGUCGGUCAUUCUCUUCCAGGUCACACAGGAGGAAGGUGAUCUCAUCCCAACUGCCAUGUUUUCCACCCGACACCCAGCCCCUUGAGAGGCAGACCGGCCCCAUGAGCCCCAAUAACCAUAAGGUGGCAGAAGCUUUGUCCCCUUUGCCUCAGCUCCACCUGAGAGCUGUUGCUAGCCACCAGGCAUGGCGCUCAUCCUGGGAAUGACCUUGGAAGGGGGAGGCAGGGGACAAGCAAGAAAUCAGUGUUGUUGCAGAGCUGUCCAUCAGAGUGUCCUGGUUAGGUAUGGCUAGUUCAGGGACCACCUUCAGCAUGAACUUGAGCUCUUUGACGGCAAUGUCUGAAGCAUCUCCACAUUCACAGUGCCUAGCUUUGUCCCUGGCACAUAGUAGGUACUCAUCUGGCACGGAGUAGGUGGAUGCUGCUAUAGUUACCAACAACUGAGUAGCUCAUGGAGGUGAACUCCUACACGUCUAUGAGAAAGAAUCACAUCGCAUCUUUUGUAUUCAACCCAAGCUUAGAGGAGGACACAUGCUAAUAACUGUACUGAAUGUCCCCAACGAGAGUACAGCAUCCCUUUGGUGCAUGGUGACCUUCUGGGUCCCAAGCACAAAACCCAGAAACUGCCUCUUGCCUUUUGUUAGUUGCAAAAUUUCUCCCCUGCCAAAAAGUGGGAGACACAUUGGAGCUCUCUUCUACCUUUCUAGAACAGCUAGUAAGUUAGAAUGUUCUUGGUGGAAAAGGAAGGGCUAACCCCUAGUGCUGACACUCCCCAUAAGAACUGCAUUUCUUGGGAACCCAAGGCUACUGCCAAGCAGCUGAACCUCGAGCCUGGUGAAAAUGUGAGCCUGUCAUCGAGCAUUAGGCAGAGAAAGAAAGGGAGGGCCCUGGCCAGCUGCCUCUUUGUCUGCUUAGCAGAGGCUUACGAGCUCAUGCAUUAUCUCUGGACAGGACAGCUGGUCACCGGGUUUGUGCUCCAGGCUUGGGAGUUUAUAGCUGAGCUGUCAUUUAUAAGGAAGUAUCCAAAAUAACCCUCUCAAAUUACUCCUCUAAUGACUCUCAGUGACUAUCCCAAGGCCACGUUGAGUAAGAAAUUACAGAGACAGGUAGAGGAGAUUGAAAUGGUAAUCAAGUGAAGGCUGUUGAGGGAGGAAGGGAUUAGUGGGACAGGUGCCCCUACACUCAGCACUGCAGGGGAGCUGGCCGGAGCUGUUCUAAAGGCUUCUGGGUCUAGAAGGAAAGCUGUAAAGUGCUCUGUGCUACGUAAAGACAGCCCCACUCUCCGCUCCCCACCGUGGACGUGGAUGGCACCAGGGAAGUUCCCCGUCAGAACGAGCAGGACUGCCUCUGGAGAUGUUCAUUGGCUGACUGUCCUGGCGGGGCUCUGACCCUGCUCCCGAGUCUGUAAGACGCUAACAGUAGCAGGAACUCGCGGGCACUCAGUGCCAGCUGUGCCAAGGGCUUCACAUGCAGUGUCUCAUUUAAUCCUCCAACAACCCUACGAAAUAGGAUGUUUCUAUCCUCAUGUUACAAAUGAAGAAACUAAGACUUAGAGAGGUUAAAUAACUUGCCCAAGGUCAUGCAGCUAAUAAGUAGAGGAGCAAGGAUUCAAAUCCAGGUCUGCCUAUUACCCCUGCUUUUGAAAGUUCUAGUUUUCCCAUUGCAGGAUUUCUAAUUCCAUUCUCUGGAAUAACCAGUCCACUUUCUGUCUCUGUUCCGUGGCCAUAUUGAAAUCGUCCUGCUUCCACAAUCCCUUCUUUGGCCUGUCAGUGCCACAAAACAGUCUCUAAGAGGUCGAGUUCAGUAGGUACUGACCGCUUCCGACACCUAUUAAAGCCACAUUCCUGAGAGACAUCCUGCGUUGUCCAAGCAGUCACUGGGAUUUCUGCUAUGGGAAUUCAGGGAGAUUCCUGAGUCAUGGCAGACUCAAGAAUCUGAUUACGCUCUCAGUCCUAUAGGAUACUCAGGCAGAACAAAGCAGGAACAAUUUCUUUCUGCCCCACCGUGUCCGGGGUUCCGCUGGAGGGGCCCAGAUGGCUGCAGUAGGUCGGGAUGGUUGGACAGUGGCUGUAGGUCAGGGGCCGUGGUUCUGUCUGCCAGCUGGACCCCGCCUUUCUCCACGUGGCAUCUGCCGAAACGGGGCUGCAGUGUCCAAAAUGGCUUUUUCACUCAUGUAGACACGAUCCUCGGUCUUCUUCCACGUAGCCUAAUCUUACAUUGUUGCUCCACUCCACUGUACCUGUUCAACCCCGCAACCCUUCCGUAGGGAACCGCCUCCCUCAGCGCUCGCUGCCGAGUGGCUGUGUUAUAUCACGCGACCCUCCCCAUGCACACAUACAAGUCACUGGACCAGGAUCCAUUUUAGGCUGGCCAGUGACUCGAAGUCACCUGGCUCAAAACAAGGAAAGCCAGUAAGACCAGUCAGAUUCCCCUUUUGUGACGAGAUGUUACGUGAGCAAGUAGAGCCUGGAUGGACCAAUGUGCUAGCCAGAAUUAAGGAAGAAACCUGGAGAUUUGAAGAAAAAAAAAAAGAAAAGCUAUGACAAUGCAGUUAUAAUGGAGGGAAUAGCGAGCCUGGUUUUGGCAAGAGAAUGAAAGAGGGAAUGACCUCCUUUAGAAUCCCAUAGCUGGGACUCCGCGAAAGGCAGGGGGGAGCCAGCCCCAGAGGCACUCUCGUGCCCCUGGGCUCACCAGGCUCUGAUUCGCCCCAUGUGUGUCAUUGCAGCAGGCUGGUUACUUAUUUACUUUGCUGUCAGUUGGCUUAGAAAUGGGCAUGUGACUUAAUUGUGCCUAAACAUAUUAGGAAAUAGCUGGGGGACCUUCUGGGAAGAAUUUUGCUUUUUGAUUCAAGAAACAGUGAAGAGGCCUGUCCCUUCUUACUACUUUGAGCAUAGGUGUUUGUGGACAUGAUACUUAGAGCUGUAGCAGCCGUCUUGAGACCAUGAGGUAACAAGACCAAGGGAAAAAGCCAACGUACUGAGGUUGGCCUAGCAGACAGACAAAAAGAGCCUGGGGUCCUUGAUGAUAUAGUUGAGCCACUAUACUUAUCCUAGAACUACCUACUUCCAGUUUUACUGAUACGUUAGUGAAAUGUCUUUACUUUCUAUGCAGAUUUCUGUUAUUUGAAGGCUUAGGCGUUUUUAACCAGUAUAGCAAUCCUCUGAACCUGUAUUCAACUCCUUAGAACCCCAUGGCUCUUGACACAGCUCCAAAUGGAAAAUCAACCCAAACUUAGACAUUGGAAAUCUUAUUUAUGUGGUAGGAAAUAAAAGUCAAGAUUUCUCACAGCCUACAGAACAAUUUCAGCACUUGGUCCCAAUUCCCGGGGCCUACAGAACACAGAUGAGGAAAGAUAGAUUCAGGGACGUUCUAGAUGCAUGAGCAUGAGUCUUCUAAAAUGGGGCUCAAUAUUGAAUUUUAGAAAGACCGAGUUCGGCGGGAGCAGGGUGUGUUUGUGGUGGUGGGGGGUGUUAGUUAGUAAUGCCUGAGAUGCAGAGCCUGAGCACAGGCCAGAAAGCCAGGGGAGUGCACAGAAGCAGCAGCAAGCUGACACGGGCAAUGGUGGGUGGGUUGGAUGACUUCUGGAGAAGGAAGCUGGUAUCCACAGCAGGAUUUUAUGAUCUCCAAGUCGUUUAUGGCAGCUGGAACUCAAUUGUUGGAAAACUAGGCCUUUCAGUUACUCUCCAGCCAGCCUUAACGACAUUUUUAGAGCCUCCUAGGAAUAAGGCACCCUGAAUUGUAGCCACUCCCUAUGUACGGGCACUCCCCAUGUUCUCCAUUUCUCCUUUUUUUCUCUGCGUUUACCUCCUGUCUUCUCUAAGCAAAGCCGGGAGCCAGAAACACACAAGACCUACCUCAAUGGGAGAGCAAAUAUAGUGGGAGACAAGGGUGUCUUCUGGUGGGAUAAGGAGUUAGGUUGGGAGGAGAGAAGGCAGUCAGUUGAUAAGGACUAGAUUAAGCUUUCUUCAUACCCAAUUUUUGCCAAGCAAUGUGUUUUUAUAUUUCUUCAACCCAAAAUUGCCAGGUCCUUCCCUUACGAAAUGAGAAGUUGAGCUCCAACUCUAGCCCUUUCUCUUCGAACUUCUAGUUUUAAAUCUAAAACAUACAGUGGCAUCCUCUUCAUGUGUCCUACAAAUACAAGUGAUUCCAUUACAUUCAGAACUUGAGAAAUGUCUCCCACCCAUUUCCCAUCUCAAAAUGAUCUUCAGCAGUAUACAGCUGUGGCCCGUAGACGUUCAUCAAAUUAAAGGGGCCCAGACACAUUGAUAAUAGAAUUUGCAACCACCAGAUUCUGCCCUCUUGGUGUUCCCUUAUUUAUGCACCCUACAUAUCUUACGGAAUCCUGCCCCCAAAGGUCGAAACCAGCCAAACAACCCUGAUGUUUGCCUAUUGUAUUCAUUCAUUCAGCAGAAAUGUAACAGAAUUGUAAGUUACGCUUAUAAAAGCAAUGGUAAUAUUAGGAAGAUAAGUCAUGUAAAAAAAAAUCCUGUGAGGUAAUCAGAAAGGAAUGAAAGCUUUGGUUUGGGUAGAGGAAGCAAAAAGUUUAAACCCCUACGUAAUGUGAUUAAUGCUUUCAUGUGAUACUUUAUAAGCCCCAAAUUGCCUCCCAAGUUUCCCCAUAUAUCACGAAGGAUUCUCUGAAACCCAAUAAGAGAAAGAACUGAAGGCCUUUCCUCAUUCUCCGUAAUCAAGGUUUUUCUCCAGUAUGAAUUAGCCUGAUUACUGACUAAACACUCUCCCACAAUCUUGACAACACGAGAGUGUCUUUCCUAUGAACUCGUCAGUGAUGACAAAGGGCUGCACUAUCCCCACAUGAUUUUCCACGUUGAUUAUGCUCACAGAUUUCUCUCCCGGAUGAAUGAUCUGAUGUUCAAUAUGCUCCACGCCUCCCCUGGGUACUUUUCCAUAUUCAUCACCUAUGACCAGGUCAAGUCCCAAGGGAAUUAGCUGACAUUGUCUAAGAAUGAAACUCUGAUGGAAGGUUCAUCCGCAUCGAGUAUGCUCCCAGGGCUCCAUUCUGCCAUGAAAUCCAGGAUGUCUAGCUCUGAGCACUGUCUAAAAGCAUUUUUCCAUCCAUUACAUGCAUAUGGUUUUUCUCCAGUGUGAAUUCUCUGACGUUGAAUGAGCUUUAUUCUUGUGAAAGCAUUCACAUUUAUUGUGCUUGUAGAGUGUCUACUGCAUGUGAGUCAGUGGGUACUGUGUGGUGCUGGGAUGCUGGUGGAUGCCUCUCCCAACGGAUUCUCUCCGAGGUGGAUGCUCGGACGUUCAGUAGGAUGGGAGCCCCAACGGAAGUUGCCUGUAUCUGAAACAAAGAUGUUCUCUCCAAUAUGAAUAUUGUAAUACUGAAUAAAUUUUGAGUUCUGUUCUAA